GCAAACGUUUGGGAGGUUUUUCCCAGCCCUUCGUUGUCUUAAAGUUUGGGUUUCCUUAGUCGUUGUGUUUGUUUACUCGUCCUUUUUUUGUGAAUGUUUUAUUUGAAAGCAAAAUUAGGAAAGAAAUUAACCUGUGCUAUUUGUGGAAAUGUAUAUGAAGACGGCAGCAGAAAAAUUGGUGUUUUUUCAGUACCAAAGAAUAUGUUUUCUCGGUGGAAAUCGAUCAUACCUGAACUGAAAGAAACAGCGAGACUGUGCGACAUUCAUUUUGAAGAAUCAGAUAUAGUGAAGGGUUUCUAAAACGGGCAGAAUUUUCAUCCCCUACAAAACUGGAGAUUACUUAAGUCAGCUAUUCCAAAAUUUGUCUUGGUUAAAACAAAUGCAGAAUCCCCAUCUGCUCGUAAACCUUUAAAGCAGCUGUUAAAUGUCACUGGCCAUAACAACCGCUUGCCAACAAAAAGACAAAAUAAUUGUCAUUCUACUGCACAAGCAAAUGCCAGAAAACGCUGCAGGAAAGAAGUAAACAAUAAGCCCAUUGCUGGAGAGAGUAUGGUUCAGGAAAUAAUUUCGUCACAACAGAGUCCACAGAAAGUAUUGAUUGUUUCUUUCAAUGAAUGUGCAAGCCAGGGGCCGUAGUCUGAACUUGGAUUGAGUAUCAAUCCAGAUUGGCGUCCAUUGACUUGACAUGGCCAUCCAGAUUGGCUUGACGCUCAAGCCAAG
RNAcentral lists this long non-coding RNA (720 nucleotides) under Daphnia magna. Its description in RNAcentral is "uncharacterized LOC116916041, transcript variant X2". The record is from RNAcentral. Lineage: Eukaryota; Metazoa; Arthropoda; Branchiopoda; Diplostraca; Daphniidae.